This 1333-nucleotide ribosomal RNA is filed under the name uncultured bacterium. RNAcentral describes it as "bacterial SSU rRNA". It matches the Rfam family "Bacterial small subunit ribosomal RNA", at positions 28 to 1382 of the family's 1533-position model. The record is from RNAcentral.
GACGAACGCUGGCGGCGCGCCUAACACAUGCAAGUCGAACGAGCGAGAGAGAGCUUGCUUUCUCGAGCGAGUGGCGAACGGGUGAGUAACGCGUGAGGAACCUGCCACAAAGAGGGGGACAACAGUUGGAAACGACUGCUAAUACCGCAUAAGCCCACGGCUCGGCAUCGAGCAGAGGGAGAAGGAGCAAUCCGCUUUGAGAUGGCCUCGCGUCCGAUUAGCUAGUUGGUGAGGUAACGGCCCACCAAGGCGACGAUCGGUAGCCGGACUGAGAGGUUGAACGGCCACAUUGGGACUGAGACACGGCCCAGACUCCUACGGGAGGCAGCAGUGGGGAAUAUUGCACAAUGGGGGAAACCCUGAUGCAGCGACGCCGCGUGGAGGAAGAAGGUCUUCGGAUUGUAAACUCCUGUUGUUGGGGAAGAUAAUGACGGUACCCAACAAGGAAGUGACGGCUAACUACGUGCCAGCAGCCGCGGUAAAACGUAGGUCACAAGCGUUGUCCGGAAUUACUGGGUGUAAAGGGAGCGCAGGCGGGAAGACAAGUUGGAAGUGAAAUCUAUGGGCUCAACCCAUAAACUGCUUUCAAAACUGUUUUUCUUGAGUAGUGCAGAGGUAGGCGGAAUUCCCGGUGUAGCGGUGGAAUGCGUAGAUAUCGGGAGGAACACCAGUGGCGAAGGCGGCCUACUGGGCACCAACUGACGCUGAGGCUCGAAAGUGUGGGUAGCAAACAGGAUUAGAUACCCUGGUAGUCCACACCGUAAACGAUGAUUACUAGGUGUUGGGGGAUUGACCCCCUCAGUGCCGCAGUUAACACAAUAAGUAAUCCACCUGGGGAGUACGACCGCAAGGUUGAAACUCAAAGGAAUUGACGGGGGCCCGCACAAGCAGUGGAGUAUGUGGUUUAAUUCGACGCAACGCGAAGAACCUUACCAAGUCUUGACAUCCCUUGACGAUGCUGGAAACAGUAUUUCUCUUCGGAGCAAGGAGACAGGUGGUGCAUGGUUGCCGUCAGCUCGUGUCGUGAGAUGUUGGGUUAAGUCCCGCAACGAGCGCAACCCUUAUGGUCAGUUACUACGCAAGAGGACUCUGGCCAGACUGCCGUUGACAAAACGGAGGAAGGUGGGGAUGACGUCAAAUCAUCAUGCCCUUUAUGACUUGGGCUACACACGUACUACAAUGGCGUUAAACAAAGAGAAGCAAGACCGCGAGGUGGAGCAAAACUCAGAAACAACGUCCCAGUUCGGACUGCAGGCUGCAACUCGCCUGCACGAAGUCGGAAUUGCUAGUAAUCGUGGAUCAGCAUGCCACGGUGAAUACGUUCCCGGGCCUU